GGGAAAUCUGCUCGGAAGCCACAAGUGAAAGACUCCCAGCCAUUGCUACCAUACAUAGUCUGAAUGGGGAUGAUGCCCCAGUCCCUCUUCUCAGUGGUUGGAACCACUGACACGUUGAGCUUCUCCUCUUGUGCACAGGUUCGAGCGGCACUGAAGGUGAUGGAGUAGAAGGACCCCUUAAUCAGCUUCAGCUUCUGCUUAAUGGAAGCUUCAUUGCCAAGUCUAACUGCAUAGUCACCCUCAGGCACAACUAGUAACAUGUCACCCUGUUUUUGUCCUGAUUUUAUGUAUUCAACGAACCCCGAAAUCGUCCAAUUCGGAAUGGCAUCGUGGCCAGUCACUACGGACCCUUUCAAUUGUGAUGGCUUUGGGCCCUGCUC
RNAcentral lists this long non-coding RNA (380 nucleotides) under Glycine max (soybean). RNAcentral describes it as "long non-coding RNA (GMAX_LNC003307)". Lineage: Eukaryota; Viridiplantae; Streptophyta; Magnoliopsida; Fabales; Fabaceae. The record is from RNAcentral.